GGGUUGACUUGUGCAGGCGGCAGGGGUUAUAGGGAGGGUUGAAGCGUUAAUGUGAAUUACUGUGCGUAAAGCGUGCGUAGGCGGUUCUGUAAGGCUGCUGGGAAAUCCCCGGGCUCAACCUGGGAAUGGCAGUGGAUACUGGAGAGCUAGAGUGUGAUAGAGGAUGGUGGAAUUCCCGGUGUAGCGGUGAAAUGCGUAGAGAUCGGGAGGAACAUCAGUGGCGAAGGCGGCCAUCUGGAUCAACACUGACGCUGAGGCACGAAAGCGUGGGGAGCAAACAGGAUUAGAUACCCCUGAGUC
This 300-nucleotide ribosomal RNA is filed under the name uncultured bacterium. RNAcentral describes it as "bacterial SSU rRNA". It matches the Rfam family "Bacterial small subunit ribosomal RNA", at positions 494 to 795 of the family's 1533-position model. The record is from RNAcentral.